AGAGUUUGAUCCUGGCUCAGGAUGAACGCUGGCGGCGUGUCUAAGGCAUGCAAGUCGAACGCGUGUAGCAAUACACGAGUGGCAAACGGGAGCGUAACACAUUGGUAACCUACCCCGAAGCUCGGCAUAACUCACCGAAAGGUGAGCUAAUACCGGAUGUGCUUAGUCGAUACUUUCGAUUAAGUAAAGAUUUAUCACUUCGGGAGGGGCCUAUGGUCUAUCAGCUUGUUGGUGAGGUAACGGCUCACCAAGGCGACGACGGAUACCGGGUGUGAGAGCAUGACCCGGCUCACUGGGACUGAAACACUGCCCAGACUCCUACGGGAGGCUGCAGUCAAGAAUCUUCCCCAAUGGCCGAAAGGCUGAGGGAGCGACGCCGCGUGUGGGAAGAAGCCCUUCGGGGUGUAAACCACUUUUCUCAGGGAAAAACUAAUGAUGGUACCUGAGGAAUAAGGGGCUGCUAACUUCGUGCCAGCAGCAGCGGUAAUACGAAGGCCCCAAGCGUUAUCCGGAAUCACUGGGCGUAAAGAGCUCAACGGUGGUAUGCUAAGUUCUCCGUCAAAUAUUCAGGCUUAACCUGAAUGCUGCGGGGAAAACUGGCACACUUGAGGGCAGGAGAGGCAGACGGAAUUGCCGGUGUAGUAGUAAAAUGCGUUAAUAUCGGCAAGAACACCAAAUGCGAAGGCAGUCUGCUAGAAUGACCCUGACACUACACGAGCGAAAGCGUGGGGAGCGAAUGGGAUUAGAUACCCCAGUAGUCCACGCCGUAAACGAUGGAUACUAUGCAUUGGAAGUGUCGACCCUUUCAGUGUAGGUUAAUAAGCUAACGCUUUAAGUAUCCCGCCUGGGGAGUACGGCCGCAAGGCUAAAACUCAAAGGAAUUGACGGGAACCCGCACAAGCGGUGGAGCAUGUGGUUUAAUUCGACGAUAACCGAGGAACCUCACCAGGGCUUGAAAUCCUAGCUGCAAAGCCGCAGAAACGUGGCCUUCUUCGAGAGUGCUAGGACAGGUGCU
This 1015-nucleotide ribosomal RNA is filed under the name subsurface metagenome. RNAcentral describes it as "bacterial SSU rRNA". It matches the Rfam family "Bacterial small subunit ribosomal RNA", at positions 8 to 1042 of the family's 1533-position model. The record is from RNAcentral.